RNAcentral lists this ribosomal RNA (494 nucleotides) under uncultured bacterium. RNAcentral describes it as "partial 16S ribosomal RNA". It matches the Rfam family "Bacterial small subunit ribosomal RNA", at positions 28 to 507 of the family's 1533-position model. The record is from RNAcentral.
GACGAACGCUGGCGGCGUGCUUAACACAUGCAAGUCGAACGGUGAAGCGCCUUCCUUUUUGGUGGGUGUGGAUGAGUGGCGAACGGGUGAGUAACACGUGAGUAACCUGCCCCCUUCUUCUGGAUAACCGCAUGAAAGUGUGGCUAAUACGGGAUAUUCUGGGUCUGUCGCAUGAUGGGUCUGGGAAAGAUAUUGUUUCGGUGGGGGAUGGGCUCGCGGCCUAUCAGCUUGUUGGUGGGGUGAUGGCCUACCAAGGCGGUGACGGGUAGCCGGCCUGAGAGGGUGGACGGUCACACUGGGACUGAGACACGGCCCAGACUCCUACGGGAGGCAGCGGUGGGGAAUAUUGCACAAUGGGCGCAAGCCUGAUGCAGCGACGCCGCGUGAGGGAUGGAGGCCUGCGGGUUGUGAACCUCUUUCGCCAGUGAAGCAGGCCUGCCUCGUUUGUGGGUGGGUUGACGGUAGCUGGAUAAGAAGCGCCGGCUAACUACGUG